RNAcentral lists this ribosomal RNA (2140 nucleotides) under Escherichia coli. Its description in RNAcentral is "partial 23S ribosomal RNA". It matches the Rfam family "Bacterial large subunit ribosomal RNA", at positions 1 to 2166 of the family's 2925-position model. The record is from RNAcentral. RNAcentral also lists the same sequence under 2 other names. Lineage: Bacteria; Pseudomonadati; Pseudomonadota; Gammaproteobacteria; Enterobacterales; Enterobacteriaceae.
GGUUAAGCGACUAAGCGUACACGGUGGAUGCCCUGGCAGUCAGAGGCGAUGAAGGACGUGCUAAUCUGCGAUAAGCGUCGGUAAGGUGAUAUGAACCGUUAUAACCGGCGAUUUCCGAAUGGGGAAACCCAGUGUGAUUCGUCACACUAUCAUUAACUGAAUCCAUAGGUUAAUGAGGCGAACCGGGGGAACUGAAACAUCUAAGUACCCCGAGGAAAAGAAAUCAACCGAGAUUCCCCCAGUAGCGGCGAGCGAACGGGGAGCAGCCCAGAGCCUGAAUCAGUGUGUGUGUUAGUGGAAGCGUCUGGAAAGGCGUGCGAUACAGGGUGACAGCCCCGUACACAAAAAUGCACAUACUGUGAGCUCGAUGAGUAGGGCGGGACACGUGGUAUCCUGUCUGAAUAUGGGGGGACCAUCCUCCAAGGCUAAAUACUCCUGACUGACCGAUAGUGAACCAGUACCGUGAGGGAAAGGCGAAAAGAACCCCGGCGAGGGGAGUGAAAAAGAACCUGAAACCGUGUACGUACAAGCAGUGGGAGCACGCUUAGGCGUGUGACUGCGUACCUUUUGUAUAAUGGGUCAGCGACUUAUAUUCUGUAGCAAGGUUAACCGAAUAGGGGAGCCGAAGGGAAACCGAGUCUUAACUGGGCGUUAAGUUGCAGGGUAUAGACCCGAAACCCGGUGAUCUAGCCAUGGGCAGGUUGAAGGUUGGGUAACACUAACUGGAGGACCGAACCGACUAAUGUUGAAAAAUUAGCGGAUGACUUGUGGCUGGGGGUGAAAGGCCAAUCAAACCGGGAGAUAGCUGGUUCUCCCCGAAAGCUAUUUAGGUAGCGCCUCGUGAAUUCAUCUCCGGGGGUAGAGCACUGUUUCGGCAAGGGGGUCAUCCCGACUUACCAACCCGAUGCAAACUGCGAAUACCGGAGAAUGUUAUUACGGGAGACACACGGCGGGUGCUAACGUCCGUCGUGAAGAGGGAAACAACCCAGACCGCCAGCUAAGGUCCCAAAGUCAUGGUUAAGUGGGAAACGAUGUGGGAAGGCCCAGACAGCCAGGAUGUUGGCUUAGAAGCAGCCAUCAUUUAAAGAAAGCGUAAUAGCUCACUGGUCGAGUCGGCCUGCGCGGAAGAUGUAACGGGGCUAAACCAUGCACCGAAGCUGCGGCAGCGACGCUUAUGCGUUGUUGGGUAGGGGAGCGUUCUGUAAGCCUGUGAAGGUGUGCUGUGAGGUAUGCUGGAGGUAUCAGAAGUGCGAAUGCUGACAUAAGUAACGAUAAAGCGGGUGAAAAGCCCGCUCGCCGGAAGACCAAGGGUUCCUGUCCAACGUUAAUCGGGGCAGGGUGAGUCGACCCCUAAGGCGAGGCCGAAAGGCGUAGUCGAUGGGAAACAGGUUAAUAUUCCUGUACUUGGUGUUACUGCGAAGGGGGGACGGAGAAGGCUAUGUUGGCCGGGCGACGGUUGUCCCGGUUUAAGCGUGUAGGCUGGUUUUCCAGGCAAAUCCGGAAAAUCAAGGCCGAGGCGUGAUGACGAGGCACUACGGUGCUGAAGCAACAAAUGCCCUGCUUCCAGGAAAAGCCUCUAAGCAUCAGGUAACAUCAAAUCGUACCCCAAACCGACACAGGUGGUCAGGUAGAGAAUACCAAGGCGCUUGAGAGAACUCGGGUGAAGGAACUAGGCAAAAUGGUGCCGUAACUUCGGGAGAAGGCACGCUGAUACGUAGGUGAAGCGACUUGCUCGUGGAGCUGAAAUCAGUCGAAGAUACCAGCUGGCUGCAACUGUUUAUUAAAAACACAGCACUGUGCAAACACGAAAGUGGACGUAUACGGUGUGACGCCUGCCCGGUGCCGGAAGGUUAAUUGAUGGGGUUAGCGCAAGCGAAGCUCUUGAUCGAAGCCCCGGUAAACGGCGGCCGUAACUAUAACGGUCCUAAGGUAGCGAAAUUCCUUGUCGGGUAAGUUCCGACCUGCACGAAUGGCGUAAUGAUGGCCAGGCUGUCUCCACCCGAGACUCAGUGAAAUUGAACUCGCUGUGAAGAUGCAGUGUACCCGCGGCAAGACGGAAAGACCCCGUGAACCUUUACUAUAGCUUGACACUGAACAUUGAGCCUUGAUGUGUAGGAUAGGUGGGAGGCUUUGAAGUGUG